Molecule: long non-coding RNA, 625 nt
Filed under: Ananas comosus (pineapple)
Lineage: Eukaryota; Viridiplantae; Streptophyta; Magnoliopsida; Poales; Bromeliaceae
Description: long non-coding RNA (ACOM_LNC026935)
Source: RNAcentral
CGUGCAUCAGAACCCAAAUCCGUCAGUGCCAUUGGGUCGAGAAUAGUCGAACCGUUCAAAACGAGGUAUUGGAUUGCUAUGAACAGAGUCCGAUACGCCCAGAAGCCAACUCUACUCCAUGGCCUCUCCGGAAAAUCGGGUUACUAUUCACUUUAAAUGAAAACUAAUGAUCGCGUAACUUCUCCGUUCUAACUCGUUUUUUCUUGAAACUUGACGAGCGCUUAUGUAAUUAAAUUACACACAAAAAUAUCGUCAACAGAGGAUUUAGCUACACUGCCAAAAUCUCAGUUCUUACAUUAUCCCCCCCUUAAAAGAAGUUUCAUCCCCGAAACUUAACCACGUACCCACCGAAAUCGAAUUCGGAUAUUACUCUACCACUUCGGUAUCACCUUUGAGUACUGGUCAAUUACAUUUUCUUGAAUUUGGACAGAUCAACCUCUGAAAGGGAAGAAUGGGACUGCGGUUCCACUCGGACAAGACGAGGGAAAACAUACCAACCCAAAAUCUACGGACCAAAACUUUCCUGGAUCAACACCAUCCUAUAACCUGCGAACAAAAACAGUCCCGCGACCAGGAUAUCCGAUCCCAAAAUACCGAUUCUGAGAUAAUAAUUCUCCACUCACAU